Long non-coding RNA from Corapipo altera (White-ruffed manakin), 2663 nucleotides. RefSeq lists it as uncharacterized. Lineage: Eukaryota; Metazoa; Chordata; Aves; Passeriformes; Pipridae. The record is from RefSeq and is a predicted model, not a curated record. The transcript is spliced from 3 exons.
UUUAUUUUGAGAAGUAGGGAGGAACCAAGAGACUCAGUAGAUUUCAGGCAUCUUUAAGAAAUGCAGCAGUAAUAUUGAUUCAUGAAGAGCAAUCCUGUUUCCAGAAAAAGAUAAUUAACCAGUUAUAAAAAAACACGAGUUGUUUGUAACAUUUUUCUUCACUAGCUCUCAUUGAACUUCCUUCUGCAGUAUGAAAGUGCCAUGAGUUCACUUCACCUGAAUCUCAGGUGAGCUAGACAACCAUAAAUGCUAAAGACACGAUUUGGGAAUGGAGACGGAUUUUAAGUAAGCUCGGAUGUCCCACUCCCAGUUGAAGUAAAGAAACAGUUUGAAAAUACAAAUUGUCAUCAGUACGCUUGAGAACAAGGCAAACAACAGUGUUGUCUAAGCCAAGCCAUCUUUCUCCUGCACCAAGAGGCCAUAAGUGAUAGCAGGUGAAAAAGAGAGAAAUGACCAAACUGUCUGAAGCGUUAAAAGAGAGCACUUUGAUGGGCUGUCCAUAUUGAACAACUGUGUCUGUGUACCUACUUAGCCCUCUGGUAUUGCCGAAGAGCAAAUAAUCAUAAAACGUUUAAAAAUACAGUUAUCUUAUGGUAUGCUGGAUGAUAUCAGGUAAUAUAUUUAUCUUUUUUGCUCUUUCCAGAGACUUCUAUCUGCAAUUUAUCACAUAGGCUAUGUCACUUUUUCUAGUUGUGGUCAGUACCACAGAAAUGUUUUUAUUUUGAGCAAUGACUUUUUUCUUUUUAAUCAUGCAAAUGAAGGUCUUUCAUUUUGUACUGUUACAUUAUAUCUGAAGUAGAUUUGUCCUAUUUUGUGACAAACCCUGGUUCCAAUGUUGAAUGCAACAAGUCAAGCCAUGCACUGGGCUUUGCAAGUACUGGAAGUAAAAGGAAUAGCGGCCUAUAAAGUCAUAGCAUCAUUUAGGUUGGAAAAGACCUCUAAGAUUGAGUCUAGCCAUUAAUCCAGCACUGCCAAGUCCACAACUAAACCACAUCCCUAACUUUGCCCUUUCUGUUCUGUGGGUGGGUUGUGCAAUAGUUAGGGGUGCACAAACUCAAUGCAGAUGCUCUGUGAGCAGCUCAGAUUGGGGAGCAGCCUGUCCACUGUGUGGACUCCCAGGCCUCUCUGGCUGGCAGGGUAUUUCUUUCCCUGAUUGCUGUGGAUGCUGACUGUACUAUAUUUAAGAUGAAAUAGCUGGGACUGUGCCUUGCUCCAGGAGGAAGAUGCUUACUGCUUCCUUUCUGUGCGGUACUCGCAAACCCUGGGGCAGGGAGGCUGCACACUCGGGGCCGCACGGCGGGCUGAGGGUCCAUCCCCCCAGCAGCUCUCUCCUCACCCCGGCGCCAGAAACCCGCACCGGAGCCCCGCAGCCGCCUGCUUGCAGGCUCUGGGGAGGCUGUGGUUGAUUUACUCCCCUAGAUUUCGGAAUUCUCACGUUGACCUGGACGCGCUUGUGUCGCUGCAAGGCGCUCGGAGCCGGUCCCGUAUCGGCUGUCGCCAGCAAGGGGAGCUCCGCAUUUGGAUAGGAUCCGAAAGACAGGCCAGGGACGGUACUGCCACGGCCAGGAGAGGGAGAAUGCUGUAAAAUGACAUUAAAUCGAUGUGGGGCUUAAUCCUGCUGUGGGCUGGAGAAAGAAGGGGAAAGAUCAAACAAGUGCCGUGGGCUCCAGGGUGAUAUUUGGGGCACUUCUGAACUCUGCAAAUCAUAUAAUAGAAUUAUUGAAUUAUAGAAUGAUUUGGUUUGAAAGUACUUUUAAAGUUAGUAUUCUAGUUCCAACCUUCCUACCAUAGGAAGGGGCACCUCCCACCUAGACCAGGUUGCUCCAAGCCUUGUCUAGCCUGGCCUUAAACACUUCCAAAGAUGGGGCAUCCACAAUUUCUCUGGGCAAACUGCUGCAGUGCCUCACCACCCUCACAAGAAAGAAUUUCUUCCUAAUAUCUAGUAUCUUCCUACUAUCUACCCACUUUCAGUUUGAAGCUAUUCCCCCGUGUCCUAUCACUACAUGCCCUGACAAAAAUUUCCUCUCCAGCUCUCCCCUUUAGGUACUGCUAUAGAUCUCCUCAGAGCCUUGUCUUCUCUAGGCUGAACGGCCCCAACUCUCUCAGCUUGUCUUCACCGGAGGAGUACUCCUGCCCUCUGAUUAUUUUCUGAAGUCCUCUGAACCUGUUCCAACAUGUCCGUGUCUCUCCUGUGCUGAGGACCCUACAGCAGUGCCUGGAGCAAGCAUGUGCCUGCCUGUAGUGAGGGAAAUUGCUGGACAUUUUACAAAGUGAGGGUCUACCUUGCUAUAGUAGCCCCUCUUUGCUCUUCUUCACUGCUGUUAAUCACUCUUCCCCAAUCACCAGAAACUUAAGAGAAGUGUCUUCAAGCUCUGAUUGCUCCAGAAGCUUUCCUGUGAGCUGUGUGUAUCACAGCUGUUAAAGCUUUAUGAAACUUGACAUCAAAGUUUCCCCUAUGAUGAAACCCUGAGCAGUCUCUCUGGUUUUGGUACAGGCUGGGAAUCAGUGUGAUCAUUUUACAGAAAGCUCAAAUAUUUUUUUCUUGGAUGGAAAACAUUUUGUUUUACAGUAUUGCAGUCACAGUUAAAGAUGUAAUAACAAGUACAGCAUCAUAGCAAUCAACAACACCCAUAGUAAGUAUGUUUUCAGUUUGUAUAAAAAAA